This 139-nucleotide small nucleolar RNA is filed under the name Hordeum vulgare. RNAcentral describes it as "Small nucleolar RNA Z247". It matches the Rfam family "Small nucleolar RNA Z247". Rfam says of the family: Z247 is a member of the C/D class of snoRNA which contain the C (UGAUGA) and D (CUGA) box motifs. Most of the members of the box C/D family function in directing site-specific 2'-O-methylation of substrate RNAs. Lineage: Eukaryota; Viridiplantae; Streptophyta; Magnoliopsida; Poales; Poaceae. The record is from RNAcentral.
CCGCUCGGGGAUGCUGAGAUCAUCUCCCACGUCAUAGCCGGCCUCGACAUCGACUACAACCCCGUGAUCUCGGCCCUAGCCGUGCGGGUUGAACCGGUUACGAUUCAAUAGCUCUGCAGCCAACUCCUGAGCUUCGACG